UAAGGAAUAUUGGUCAAUGGAGGCAACUCUGAACCAGCCAUGCCGCGUGCAGGAAGACUGCCCUAUGGGUUGUAAACUGCUUUUAUCCGGGGAUAAACCUCUGCUCGUGAGCAGAGCUGAAUGUACCGGAAGAAUAAGGAUCGGCUAACUCCGUGCCAGCAGCCGCGGUAAUACGGAGGAUCCAAGCGUUAUCCGGAUUUAUUGGGUUUAAAGGGUGCGUAGGCGGCCUGUUAAGUCAGGGGUGAAAGACGGUAGCUCAACUAUCGCAGUGCCCUUGAUACUGAUGGGCUUGAAUGGACUAGAGGUAGGCGGAAUGAGACAAGUAGCGGUGAAAUGCAUAGAUAUGUCUCAGAACACCGAUUGCGAAGGCAGCUUACUAUGGUCUUAUUGACGCUGAGGCACGAAAGCGUGGGGAUCAAACA
RNAcentral lists this ribosomal RNA (422 nucleotides) under uncultured bacterium. RNAcentral describes it as "partial 16S ribosomal RNA". It matches the Rfam family "Bacterial small subunit ribosomal RNA", at positions 355 to 774 of the family's 1533-position model. The record is from RNAcentral.